Molecule: unclassified non-coding RNA, 300 nt
Filed under: Glomus sp.
Lineage: Eukaryota; Fungi; Glomeromycota; Glomeromycetes; Glomerales; Glomeraceae
Description: partial contains 5.8S ribosomal RNA and internal transcribed spacer 2
Rfam family: 5.8S ribosomal RNA (bases 1-71)
Source: RNAcentral
GUGAAUCAUCAAAUUUUUGAACGCAUAUUGCGCUCUUUGGUAUUCCGAAGAGCAUGCUUGUUUGAGGGUCAGCCUAUAAAAAAUCGACAUCGUUGCUGUUUCGCGGUGGCGUUCGUCGGAAAUUGGGUCAUCUUAAAUCUUUUGGUUUUAAGCGACUUAAAAUUUUCUUUUUGGUUCCAUAAGCGUUUCUAAGAUCUAUUUCUUUACACGUUUAAGGUAUCGAUUUUUACUAGACGUGACCAUCAUAUCGGAUCGCGUCCAUAAUCUUUCAUUAACUGACCUCAGACAGGUAAGAGUACC